AUUGAACGCUGGCGGCAUGCCUUACACAUGCAAGUCGAACGGCAGCACGGGUGCUUGCCCCUGGUGGCGAGUGGCGAACGGGUGAGUAAUACAUCGGAACAUGUCCUGUAGUGGGGGAUAGCCCGGCGAAAGCCGGAUUAAUACCGCAUACGAUCUACGGAUGAAAGCGGGGGACCUUCGGGCCUCGCGCUAUAGGGUUGGCCGAUGGCUGAUUAGCUAGUUGGUGGGGUAAAGGCCUACCAAGGCGACGAUCAGUAGCUGGUCUGAGAGGACGACCAGCCACACUGGGACUGAGACACGGCCCAGACUCCUACGGGAGGCAGCAGUGGGGAAUUUUGGACAAUGGGCGAAAGCCUGAGCCAGCAAUGCCGCGGGUGUGAAGAAGGCCUUCGGGUUGUAAAGCACUUUUGUCCGGAAAGAAAUCCUUGGCCCUAAUACGGUCGGGGGAGGACGGGACCGGAAGAAUAAGCACCGGCGAACUACGU
This 485-nucleotide ribosomal RNA is filed under the name uncultured bacterium. Its description in RNAcentral is "partial 16S ribosomal RNA". It matches the Rfam family "Bacterial small subunit ribosomal RNA", at positions 29 to 506 of the family's 1533-position model. The record is from RNAcentral.